This 71-nucleotide transfer RNA is filed under the name Cordylochernes scorpioides. RNAcentral's name for it is "tRNA-Gly". Lineage: Eukaryota; Metazoa; Arthropoda; Arachnida; Pseudoscorpiones; Chernetidae. The record is from RNAcentral.
UGCAUCGGCCGGGAAUCGAACUUGGGCCGCCCGUGUGGCAGGCGAGCAUUCUACCACUGAACCACCGAAGG